This 570-nucleotide long non-coding RNA is filed under the name Heterocephalus glaber (naked mole-rat). RNAcentral's name for it is "lncRNA (ENSHGLG00100046533.1)". The record is from RNAcentral. Lineage: Eukaryota; Metazoa; Chordata; Mammalia; Rodentia; Bathyergidae.
CUUCAGUCGUUUUUCCUUUCAUUACUCAAACACAAAUGAGAAGAAGGAACUCCUAGUACGGCAGCUCUGGGUGCAGCAGCAGCUCCAAGUCCACGAAGCUGUGACUGCCCACUUCUCCAGGCAUCAUCACCCCAGGUGCACACAUUUCCACCUCUUUUGGGCAAACAUCAAGGAGUCUUAUUAUUGGAUUACUGGGCAAGAGAAUGAGCUUUUCCGGUCACCUAUUACAAUGAAGAAAAAUUGACUGAGGACCUCAGAUGCUGGACUCUGAUGUUUGUCACCAAGUUUACACUGAGACCACACUUCCCGCAGGCCGCCUCCUCAGUGACUGAGGACAGAUGGGAAACCAAGCCAGCCUUGUCCCCAUGAGCUGAAGGUCUCCUCUGAGAGGCAACAUGGGUUUGGAGACACUUUCCUCUCAGUCACCCUCCAAUGCCUUGCAAAGUGGACUCAUAACACCUUUCUUGCACGUGCCAUUUUGUCUCCGUGUCUGCUUCUUGAAGGAUGGGUGUUCUGUGCACAUGUGGCCAGAGGAAAAGAAUCAGAAUUGGGGAGCAUCUGCUAAUCUUG